This 1346-nucleotide ribosomal RNA is filed under the name uncultured bacterium. RNAcentral's name for it is "partial 16S ribosomal RNA". It matches the Rfam family "Bacterial small subunit ribosomal RNA", at positions 28 to 1381 of the family's 1533-position model. The record is from RNAcentral.
GACGAACGCUGGCGGCGUGCUUAACACAUGCAAGUCGAACGGAAAGGCCCUGCUUUUGUGGGGUGCUCGAGUGGCGAACGGGUGAGUAACACGUGAGUAACCUGCCCUUGACUUUGGGAUAACUUCAGGAAACUGGGGCUAAUACCGGAUAGGAGCUCCUGCUGCAUGGUGGGGGUUGGAAAGUUUCGGCGGUUGGGGAUGGACUCGCGGCUUAUCAGCUUGUUGGUGGGGUAGUGGCUUACCAAGGCUUUGACGGGUAGCCGGCCUGAGAGGGUGACCGGCCACAUUGGGACUGAGAUACGGCCCAGACUCCUACGGGAGGCAGCAGUGGGGAAUAUUGCACAAUGGGCGGAAGCCUGAUGCAGCAACGCCGCGUGCGGGAUGACGGCCUUCGGGUUGUAAACCGCUUUCGCCUGUGACGAAGCGUGAGUGACGGUAAUGGGUAAAGAAGCACCGGCUAACUACGUGCCAGCAGCCGCGGUGAUACGUAGGGUGCGAGCGUUGUCCGGAUUUAUUGGGCGUAAAGGGCUUGUAGGUGGUUGAUCGCGUCGGAAGUGUAAUCUUGGGGCUUAACCCUGAGCGUGCUUUCGAUACGGGUUGACUUGAGGAAGGUAGGGGAGAAUGGAAUUCCUGGUGGAGCGGUGGAAUGCGCAGAUAUCAGGAGGAACACCAGUGGCGAAGGCGGUUCUCUGGGCCUUUCCUGACGCUGAGGAGCGAAAGCGUGGGGAGCGAACAGGCUUAGAUACCCUGGUAGUCCACGCUGUAAACGGUGGGUACUAGGUGUGGGGUCCAUUCCACGGGUUCCGUGCUGUAGCUAACGCUUUAAGUACCCCGCCUGGGGAGUACGGCCGCAAGGCUAAAACUCAAAGGAAUUGACGGGGCCCCGCACAAGCGGCGGAGCAUGCGGAUUAAUUCGAUGCAACGCGUAGAACCUUACCUGGGUUUGACAUGGAUCGGGAGUGCUCAGAGAUGGGUGUGCCUCUUUUGGGGUCGGUUCACAGGUGGUGCAUGGCUGUCGUCAGCUCGUGUCGUGAGAUGUUGGGUUAAGUCCCGCAACGAGCGCAACCCUUGUUCACUGUUGCCAGCACGUUAUGGUGGGGACUCAGUGGAGACCGCCGGGGUCAACUCGGAGGAAGGUGGGGAUGACGUCAAGUCAUCAUGCCCCUUAUGUCCAGGGCUUCACGCAUGCUACAAUGGCUGGUACAGAGAGUGGCGAGCCUGUGAGGGUGAGCGAAUCUCGGAAAGCCGGUCUCGGUUCGGAUUGGGGUCUGCAACUCGACCUCAUGAAGUCGGAGUCGCUAGUAAUCGCAGAUCAGCAACGCUGCGGUGAAUACGUUCCCGGGGCU